This is a long non-coding RNA of Fukomys damarensis (Damara mole-rat), 381 nucleotides long. RefSeq lists it as uncharacterized. The record is from RefSeq and is a predicted model, not a curated record. Lineage: Eukaryota; Metazoa; Chordata; Mammalia; Rodentia; Bathyergidae. The transcript is spliced from 3 exons.
GAGAAUGUCAGCAAGUUCCCUGGCUUAGGAGGUGACAGUGCCUGCCUGCAAAGGGUGAUAGAAACGACGGCAGCUGACGUUGAUCAAGUACCAAGCGCUGGACAAAGAAAGAUGGAAAUCAGGGAGUCAAGUGAUUGCCUGGGACAAUCAUCUGCAGAGACCAUUCUCUGAGAUGCACAGUACGACGGGGAGAAACGAUCCGACAGCACAGAUCAACUUCCCACCCACAACUCACCCACACUGCUGUAGGAUGAAGAACUAAGCCCAGUGCCACAACGGGGCCAUUUUAUAAUCUCAAUUUAAGUUGAUCUGCAUCACAACCAGAUGGAAGAGUGCAUGUGCCUUCUGGAAGGUGCCCCCAACUCCUCCAACUGACUUCAG